AUCCGGCUGACGAGUCCCAAAUAGGGCGAAACGCGCGUCUUUGAU
RNAcentral lists this non-coding RNA (45 nucleotides) under Schistosoma haematobium. Lineage: Eukaryota; Metazoa; Platyhelminthes; Trematoda; Strigeidida; Schistosomatidae. The record is from RNAcentral.